UACGAAGGGGGCUAGCGUUGCUCGGAAUUACUGGGCGUAAAGGGCGCGUAGGCGGCUCCGCUUGUCGGGCGUGAAAUCCCGGGGCUCAACCCCGGGGCUGCGCCCGAGACGGCGGGGCUCGAGUGCGGGAGAGGGUGGUGGAAUUCCCAGUGUAGAGGUGAAAUUCGUAGAUAUUGGGAAGAACACCGGUGGCGAAGGCGGCCACCUGGCCCGCGACUGACGCUGAGGCGCGACAGCGUGGGGAGCAAACAGG
RNAcentral lists this ribosomal RNA (253 nucleotides) under uncultured bacterium. RNAcentral's name for it is "partial 16S ribosomal RNA". It matches the Rfam family "Bacterial small subunit ribosomal RNA", at positions 524 to 776 of the family's 1533-position model. The record is from RNAcentral.